RNAcentral lists this ribosomal RNA (469 nucleotides) under uncultured bacterium. Its description in RNAcentral is "bacterial SSU rRNA". It matches the Rfam family "Bacterial small subunit ribosomal RNA", at positions 1 to 492 of the family's 1533-position model. The record is from RNAcentral.
UUAGAGUUUGAUCAUGGCUCAGAAUCAACGCUGGCGGCGUGCCUAACACAUGCAAGUCGAACGAGAAAGUGGAGCAAUCCAUGAGUAAAGUGGCGACCGGGUGAGUAACACGUGACUAACCUACCUUCAAGUGGGGGAUAACCUCGGGAAACCGGGGCUAAUACCGCAUAACAUCCUUAGAGUGGAAACUCCGGGGAUCAAGGAGCAAUUCGCUGGAAGAGGGGGUCGCGGCUGAUUAGCUAGUUGGCGGGGUAAUGGCCCACCAAGGCAGAGAUCGGUAGCCGGCCUGAGAGGGCGCACGGCCACACUGGAACUGAAACACGGUCCAGACUCCUACGGGAGGCAGCAGUGGGGAAUUUUGCGCAAUGGGGGAAACCCUGACGCAGCAACGCCGCGUGGAGGAUGAAGUCCCUUGGGACGUAAACUCCUUUCGACCGGGACGAUAAUGACGGUACCGGUGGAAGAAGCC